AGAGUUUGAUCCUGGCUCAGGAUGAACGCUGGCGGCGUGCUUAACACAUGCAAGUCGAACGAUCCUUCGGGAUAGUGGCGGACGGGUGAGUAACGCGUGGGAAUCUGCCCUCAGGAGGGGGAUAACGGCUGGAAACGGCCGCUAAUACCCCAUAUGCCGAGAGGUGAAAUGAAUUUCGCCUGAGGAUGAGCCCGCGUCUGAUUAGCUAGUUGGUGGGGUAAAGGCCUACCAAGUCAACGAUCAGUAGCUGGUCUGAGAGGAUGAUCAGCCACACUGGGACUGAGACACGGCCCAGACUCCUACGGGAGGCAGCAGUGGGGAAUUUUCCGCAAUGGGCGAAAGCCUGACGGAGCAACGCCGCGUGAGGGAUGAAGGCCUCUGGGCUGUAAACCUCUUUUCUCAAGGAAGAAGACCUGACGGUACUUGAGGAAUAAGCCACGGCUAAUUCCGUGCCAGCAGCCGCGGUAAUACGGGAGUGGCAAGCGUUAUCCGGAAUUAUUGGGCGUAAAGCGUCCGCAGGCGGCCUUGUAAGUCUGUUGUUAAAGCGUGGAGCUCAACUCCAUUUAAGCAAUGGAAACUACAAGGCUGGAGUGUGGUAGGGGCAGAGGGAAUUCCCGGUGUAGCGGUGAAAUGCGUAGAUAUCGGGAAGAACACCAGUGGCGAAGGCGCUCUGCUGGGCCACAACUGACGCUCAUGGACGAAAGCCAGGGGAGCGAAAGGGAUUAGAUACCCCUGUAGUCCUGGCCGUAAACGAUGAACACUAGGUGUCGGGGGAAUCGACCCCCUCGGUGUCGUAGCCAACGCGUUAAGUGUUCCGCCUGGGGAGUACGCACGCAAGUGUGAAACUCAAAGGAAUUGACGGGGGCCCGCACAAGCGGUGGAGUAUGUGGUUUAAUUCGAUGCAACGCGAAGAACCUUACCAGGGUUUGACAUCCUGCGAACCCCUGAGAAAUCGGGGGGUGCCUUCGGGAGCGCAGAGACAGGUGGUGCAUGGCUGUCGUCAGCUCGUGUCGUGAGAUGUUGGGUUAAGUCCCGCAACGAGCGCAACCCACGUCUUUAGUUGCCAGCAUUCAGUUGGGCACUCUAGAGAGACCGCCGGUGAUAAACCGGAGGAAGGUGUGGAUGACGUCAAGUCAUCAUGCCCCUUACAUCCUGGGCUACACACGUACUACAAUGCUACGGACAAAGGGCAGCAAGCUCGCGAGAGUUAGCAAAUCCCAUAAACCGUGGCUCAGUUCAGAUCGUAGGCUGCAACUCGCCUACGUGAAGGAGGAAUCGCUAGUAAUCGCAGGUCAGCAUACUGCGGUGAAUACGUUCCCGGGCCUUGUACACACCGCCCGUCACACCAUGGAAGUUGGCCAUGCCCGAAGUCGUUACUCCAACC
Molecule: ribosomal RNA, 1384 nt
Filed under: metagenome
Description: bacterial SSU rRNA
Rfam family: Bacterial small subunit ribosomal RNA
Source: RNAcentral